This 1569-nucleotide long non-coding RNA is filed under the name Ornithorhynchus anatinus (platypus). RNAcentral's name for it is "lncRNA (ENSOANG00000041032.1)". Lineage: Eukaryota; Metazoa; Chordata; Mammalia; Monotremata; Ornithorhynchidae. The record is from RNAcentral.
AUGUGGAGCCCCCCUAGGGUCGGGGGAAGGUUAGGGUCCCUCCUCACUCCCAUUUCCUUUCAGCUCUCCAUGAAAGGGCCUCCUGGCCCCACUGGACUCACUGGCCGUCCUGGACCCCUGGGCCCCUCCGGAUACGCAGGUCUGAAGGGAGAGUCAGGGCCAGUGGGGCCACAGGUGAGGAGUGGAGCAGAGGAAGAUGGGGAGGGGGUUCCGACCAGGGCUGGGAGGGGGUUGUCUCUGAGUUAGAGGGUCCUAAAGAGAGUUGGUUGAGGAAAGGGGAGGAGGGUCGGCGGCGUCUCUGUGAUAGAGGGCCCUAAAGACAGCUGGUUGAGGAAAGAGGAGGAGGCCCAGAACCUCCUCUCCCCAACAACCAGGGACCCAGGGGACUGCAAGGACCGGCUGGCCCCCCCGGCAGAGAAGGAAAGCGGGUGAGUGACACUGCCUCCCCCCGACACUGCUGAUCUCUCCCCCUUUGCUCCCUCUCUCCUAUUCCUGACUAGCAGGUAACUAGCCCCACUGACCAAUGUCUCUUCUCUCGGGGACUCACAGGGUCGCUCAGGAGCAGAUGGAGCUCGGGGCCUUCCUGGGGACACAGGACCCAAGGUGGGUGAUGGGCAGGGGAUCCUUAGGUGAGGGGACUUGCAUGGUGGUGUGGGAUGAAAGCUGAACUCUCCAUGGGGGCCUGGGGGGUGGAGGAUCCGUGGGAGACCGAGGCUCAAAAGUCUCUCCUGCCAGGGAGAUCGGGGCUUGGAUGGACUUCCUGGUUUGCUGGGGGAGAAAGGCCAGAGGGUGAGUGUCCAGAGUUUUGAUACAUCCCCAUUCCCUCCCACCCCAAGCCACUCCACCUUCCGACCUCCCCCAACCUGUUCCAGAAUAUCUACCCUCAAGUGUCAAUUCUUUGGUUCCCUCCCAGAGCAUUUAACCCUUCUAAAUUGCUUUUCUCUGACCCCAAUGGUACUCUCUGCUUUUCUCACCUCCCCGAUCCAGGGAGACCUUGGACCCCCAGGCCGCCCAGGCCCCCCGGGUGAGAGUGGAAUAAAAGUGAGUAGAGUAGGGCUCUAGCAGGGGCCCAGCCCAGUGGGGGGGGGGAGUGGUGGGGUGUUUGGCUGGGGGUGUCGAGAAGAGGUUCUGCUGGAGACUGUAGCAGCAUACUCCUCCCCCCUUUUCUCCACCCCACAAACAUUUGCCCCCCAGACAGACACAUGCAGUGGAGCGGGGGUGGGGGGUGUCUCUUUGACAGGGCACAGAGGGACCCUCCGGACCGAUGGGACAGGCCGGAGAGCCCGUGAGUAUCUACAGACGCUCCCUCACCAUUCUUCCCUCCCUCCACCUCCCCCACCAAGGGUGGCUGAGUCCUGGAACUCCUGGGUCCAAUUCCCAACCCUGACACAUGCCCCUCCACCAGGCCCCUCUUCUCUAGGCAAGAGGCCCGGGGAUGGAACCAGCCCCCUGACAAGGUCUCUUCACAGGGACCCCGCGGUCUGAUGGGCCCACGUGGAUCCCCUGGACCCCCUGGGCAGCCGGUAAUGAACCCUCCCCAACUGGGGGGGUGGUAAGGGGAAGGGAAAC